UGCGGGAUCGUCUAACGGCAGGACCGUGGCCUUUGAAGCCAUUUAUCCUGGUUCGAAUCCAGGUCCCGCAG
This 71-nucleotide transfer RNA is filed under the name Nanobdellota archaeon. Its description in RNAcentral is "tRNA-Gln". It matches the Rfam family "tRNA". From Rfam's summary of the family: Transfer RNA (tRNA) molecules are approximately 80 nucleotides in length. Their secondary structure includes four short double-helical elements and three loops (D, anti-codon, and T loops). Further hydrogen bonds mediate the characteristic L-shaped molecular structure. tRNAs have two regions of fundamental functional importance: the anti-codon, which is responsible for specific mRNA codon recognition, and the 3' end, to which the tRNAs corresponding amino acid is attached (by aminoacyl-tRNA synthetases). tRNAs cope with the degeneracy of the genetic code in two manners: having more than one tRNA (with a specific anti-codon) for a particular amino acid; and 'wobble' base-pairing, i.e. permitting non-standard base-pairing at the 3rd anti-codon position. The record is from RNAcentral. Lineage: Archaea; Nanobdellati; Nanobdellota.